GGAGAGUUUGAUCCUGGCUCAGAGUGAACGCUGGCGGCGUGCCUAACACAUGCAAGUCGAGCGGUCCUGCAUGUCGUAUCGCAGGAUAGCGGCAAACGGGUGAGUAACACGUAAGCAACCUGCCCUUAAGAGGGGGAUAACCUGUCGAAAGACGGGCUAAUACCCCAUAACAUCCGAAGGAGGCAUCUCCUUUGGAUUAAAGGAGUAAUCCGCUUAAGGAGGGGCUUGCGGCCUAUCAGCUAGUUGGUAGGGUAACGGCCUACCAAGGCUAUGACGGGUAGCUGGUCUGAAAGGACGGCCAGCCACAGGGGCACUGAGACACGGGCCCCACU
This 332-nucleotide ribosomal RNA is filed under the name Candidatus Nanoarchaeia archaeon. Its description in RNAcentral is "bacterial SSU rRNA". It matches the Rfam family "Bacterial small subunit ribosomal RNA", at positions 6 to 337 of the family's 1533-position model. RNAcentral also lists the same sequence under 1 other name. The record is from RNAcentral. Lineage: Archaea; Nanobdellati; Nanobdellota; Candidatus Nanoarchaeia.